RNAcentral lists this non-coding RNA (767 nucleotides) under Mylabris calida. Lineage: Eukaryota; Metazoa; Arthropoda; Insecta; Coleoptera; Meloidae. The record is from RNAcentral.
CCAAAGUUUAAUUUUGGCUUAAAAAUUAACUAUUUUAUUUAUUUAUAUGCGAUUUAUUAGGUUAAAUUAAUCUUAAAAAGAUUUUUGGUUAAAGCAGUAUGUAGAAUUAAGCAUUAAGGAAAUUUAGACUUAGAAAUUAUUUAAUAGUACAGACUUAAUUUGUGCCAGCAGUUGCGGUUAUACAGAUUGUGCAGGUUAAUUUUAUUUAAUUUAAUUAAAUGUAAAAUAUUAUAUAGAUAAAGGAUAGAUUUAUUAGGUGAAAUUUUAAAUUUAUUUUUUCUAUUUAAGUGAUGUUGAAGUUAGGAAAUUUCUAUUUAAACUAGGAUUAGAUACCCUAUUAUUGGAAAAGUUAUAUUAAAGUUAAAAUUACUAAUAGCUAUGAUCUUUAAAAUUAAAAAAUUUGGCGGUAUCUUAGUCUAUUCAGAGGAACCUGUUUCAUAAUUGAUAGUCCACGAUAAUCUUUACUUAAAAUUUAAAUUUGUAUAUCGCCGUAGUUAGAAUAUUUUAGUAGAAUAGAAAUGUUCAAGGUUCUAAAUUAAGAAGGAAUUCAGGUCAAGGUGCAGUUGAUUUUUAAGUAGAAAUGGGUUACAUUGUAUUUAUAUUUGGUCUUUGAACUUGAAAAGUCUAAGUAAAUUGGAUUUGAUAGUAAUUUGAUAUGUUUAUUUCAAAUGAUUAUGCUCUAAGAUAUGUACAUAUCGCCCGUCACUUUCACCUAAGGUGAAAUAAGUCGUAACAGAGUAGGCCUAUUGGAAAAUGGGCCUAGAAUG